UACUUGCCGGCGACCGGCGCAAGGUGCGUAACGCGUGAGCAACAUGCCCGUAUCAGGGGGAUAAUCCAUGGAAACGUGGUCUAAUACCCCAUAGUAAUUAUGUAAGGCAUCUUAUAUAAUUUAAAGCUUUGGUGGAUACGGAUUGGCUCGCGUGACAUUAGCUAGAUGGUAAGGUAACGGCUUACCAUGGCUACGAUGUCUAGGGGUUCUGAGAGGAAGGUCCCCCCACACUGGAACUGAGACACGGUCCAGACUCCUACGGGAGGCAGCAGUGAGGAAUAUUGGACAAUGGAUGGAAAUCUGAUCCAGCCAUGCCGCGUGCAAGGAAGACGGCCCUAUGGGUUGUAAACUGCUUUUGUAUGGGAGCAAUAAGGGCUACGUGUAGUCCGAUGAGAGUACCAUACGAAUAAGCACCGGCUAACUCCGUGCCAGCCGCCGC
Molecule: ribosomal RNA, 439 nt
Filed under: uncultured bacterium
Lineage: Bacteria
Description: bacterial SSU rRNA
Rfam family: Bacterial small subunit ribosomal RNA
Source: RNAcentral